Molecule: long non-coding RNA, 8113 nt
Filed under: Sus scrofa (pig)
Lineage: Eukaryota; Metazoa; Chordata; Mammalia; Artiodactyla; Suidae
Description: lncRNA (ENSSSCG00000053999.1)
Source: RNAcentral
UUUUUUUUUUUUUUUUUUUUUUUUGGGUUUUCCAUGGGACCCUGAAAGUUUGAACUAAAUGCGUUCUGAGUGCCCUUCCAGCCUUGACAGUCUAUGAAUAGAAUUCCACUUUUGGCUCCAAGCCUAAUCCUCCCGGCACCAGGACUGCAGUGACAAACAAUAGCUGUUCAGAUGGUGGCAGCUGCCGAGAGCGCUCCAGACAGACUGUGGUUAAAUGCAGUCUUGGAACACCACCUAAAUAAAGACAGCACAGCACUGCAGAGGAUCCCUGCACUCAGGGUCUAAAGCUCGGAGUGGGGAUGGGGAAAGGACGCUGAGGGAUAACUGUAGGAAAACUUGCAGGUUUGCAUGGCAGUCUGUAUUUUGAGAUUGGGGUUGGGGGCUAGCAAUGCCCAACCUCACUGCCUAUGUUUCCAAGGGUGCUCUUCUUGCCUGGGUUUUGUGGGCUUUCCGUCCUGACUCAACUUCUGAAGGGUCAGGGUAGAAGCAAGCAUGCUGUGAGGGUCUGGUUGCCGCUUAGCAUUAGCACUUAUUUUCCAGGUGACUGAUUUUUAAAAUUAGCAGAAUUCGUACGAUUUCCAUUUCACCUGUUGGAAAAUGAGUCUUAGAUGUUUGAACAGGAAAAUACUGUCCUUGUUCUAGUUUCUGUCCCUUCUUCUCCUGUAGUGUCCUCUGUCUGCCCAUCAUGUGUCCGGGCUUCAGGACCUUAGCAGUGAUCUUUGUAAAUUGCAGCGAACAGCCUUGUUCUGAGUACAUUUUCACUCUGUUAAAGCUAGUUGGGUACCAUUCUGUAGACAAGAAUGUCCCAUGAAGGGUGAGCUCAUCUUGAGAUCUUCAGAGACUGUUUUUCCAAAUAAGGUCAUAGUCACAGAUUUCAGGUUGGACAUAUCUUUUUGGGGCCAUGCCACCAUUCAAUAGGUGCCAUUUAAAAGGCAUUUCCAAAAAGAAAGGAAAUAUGUCGUUAAAUGGAAACUGAUACAGCCCUUCAGAUCAUUUUCCUUUAUGUUGAAAAGACCACAUUUCACUUUUGUUCUGGCAGGGUUUAAUGAUGUUGGUCAGUCGUUGCAGAUUUGUCAGGAAAAUUCCAGGAGAUGUUUUAGGCUUUAAUAAGUAACUUCAGAGCAGUUGGAAUUUUCACACAGGCUCUCCUGGACAUUUCUUUGAAGUAAUUUCUGCAACAUUAAUUAUGAUUCUUCAGUAAUGUUUCUCUCUCCUAAGUCCAUAGUUCUGUUGCAUUUUUCUAUAUCUCAAGUGGUGGUUUUUGAGCAAUGGACAGUAUACUUUGUUCUAGAAAAUGGCCAGUGGGGAUAGUUACAGUGACUUAAAGUUCACUGUUUAGAAAAUAUUAUUAAAAUAUGAAGGCAUGGAUUUUUUUCAAUUUCUGUAAGCUCUUGGCUCAAAACAGUUGGCGUGGGAUUGCCAGAUCAGCUGGAAACCUGAAAUUGUAUGAGCUGGGGCCUCACAGAAAAUUCUAGUUUAGUGGCUCUGCUGUGGGGGUGGCAAGGAAGUGGGUUCAGUCAGUCAUUUCUCGUGAUCCUGAUGCUCCCCUCUGGUUGAAAAAGGUUGGAGCCACGGAGACUUCUAAAUUCUAAACACUUUCUUUGGUAAAACCUCUAGUUCCAAUUCUGCUGCUAACUCUGACCUUCAUAAUUUAACAUUCCUGGACCAUAUUUCCUUGACCAUUAUUUCUAAGUUCAGGAUUUAGGCUGGAAGAUUUUAAAACACCCUUUGGCUCUAGCAACCUUAGUUUUUCUACAGUGAGAGGACAUCUUAGCAUAUAUGAAACAUUUCAAUUUUGUUUCAAAAACAUUAAAAAUUGUGAAAGAUUUGGCACUGCAAUAUUUAUUUCUAAGUUUUUUUAUAUUUUUAUAUACAUGACCAGAUGUUGCAUAGUUUUUAAAAAAUCAUCUGAGACUUUACAGCCUGAGGUUAGUGUUUCUACUGAUAAAUAUUUCCAUGUCCUUUCACGCUGACUUUUACAAUAUUUUAAUGUUUCCUUUAAAUAAUAUACUCAUUAAUAUAAAAGUAUAUGACAUAAAAGUGAAGGUGCCUUCCUCUCUUCCCUUCUGCUUUGGCCCACCUGUUCCCAGAAGUAACUACAGGUCAUAAUUUGGUGUUUAACCUUUCACGAAGGGGUGUACACAUAUUACAUAUUGUCUAUAGGUAUACACAUGCACACACACACACAGUGUUUUAGGGGUUUGUAGUGCUUGUCUAAAAGUUGCUUGAGCAAUACGUUUUACAUUGUACUUACUGGGGUGUUACACAUGUUUUAUUCUAAUGGUCCUUGGUGUUGCUGGUGAUUAAAGCAAACACCAAGGACCAUUACGAUAAAACGCCUGUAACAUACAUACUAAGUGGAAUGUCUUAGGAGCAAGGCCUGCUAAAGUAGGGCUUGAACAUAGGAAGGGAAAAAUAGAAUUUCCAGAUCACAACUACUGAAGAAAUUACUCUGUCCACACUGAAGAUGCUUAAGAUUUAAAUUAGCCUUUUAUAUGUGUAUCUCAGAGGGACAUAUUUGGGGAAGACUUUCUGAAAAAGAAGUUGAGUAGCAGAGUACAGGCUGAAUAAGUGGGUGAUUUUGAGCUAGUAAACCAUAUGACUUCAUUACUGCUUAUAAACAUACAUUUCAUUAGUUUUUAAUUUUAACAAGAGAUCACCAGGAGCGAAAAAUGUAAACUGGUAAAAUGAUGGGGUUUUUUUGGUUUUUUUUUUAAGUCAUUGUUAAACACAGAGACUGUUGAUUUUUAGGUGUUUAGCUGAAGCUGUAAACUAACAACAGCAAACCCGGCUUCCUUAUCCCCGGAUGAGCCCAUUAAGGAGACUAGUAACAGGGAGGGGAUGGAAGGAAUGGGACCUUAUGGAGCAGGAUCAGCAUGUCAGCAUCUUGGAAAUUUUUGCUUGUUUCACUGUUUGGAGUUAAGACAGAUGCUUUUAUAGAAUUUGGAUUUGGAUAAAUGUAUUUGCUAUUGAAUUACUGCUUCCAUUCUUAACCACAGAAACAGUUUUUGACCACCGAGAUGUUCAAGUUUUGGGUUUUGACAACUAUAACUUGAAAUUGGAAAUUCCAUAGAUGAGUCGUGAUUAUUUGCAUUCAGCGUUUCAGCCUCACCAGCUACUAUUUCCAGGGCUAGGUGACCGCACCUGCUGGGGGCUACUGUGUCGGACCGUGCAAAUUGUAGAAUGUGAACGCAGUCACAGAAAGUUCCGUUGCACAGUGCUUCUCUAGAACACAUGUUGCUGUAGUUCAUGCAUUACUAUAAAAAAAAAAAAAAAAAAAGCAAAAGGAUGAAACAGCCAAAAGAGUUGCAGGCAUUAGAGGAGAAUUACCAGAGGAAUGGGAGAUGUAGAUUAGGUGAGCAGACCUUUGUUUUCUUCCUUGAUCAUUCUGCUUCCUCUGCUGUUUUCAAGCAGACUAUUUGGGAAAUGAUUCAAAGUAAAUAUCCUGCCCAGCAAGGUGAACAUACGACCACCCAGCUUUUUUUUUAGAACCAGAACCUUUUCUUUUACAGUGUUAGUUCUUAUAAAACUCCCUACUGCAGAUUACAAGUUAUUUUCUCUCUCAAUGCAGUUAGACUUCAAUCCUAUUCAGAAAUUCUUUUUUUUUUUCCCCUUCUCCAGUUGCAUGUGUAGUAUGAUUUUUCAACCCUUUUUUGCAGAACCAAAGCCUUCUAUCCCUCCCUGGUGUCUCUCAUUCUUAAUGUGGCCGUAAGACUCUGGAUUUAUCCACCUCCCAUCUCACCCCUUUGCUGGGUAACAUUGAGUAAGCAACUUAAUCUCUGAGCCUGUAAAAAUAUUAGUUUAUUUAUUAUGGUGCAGGUAUUGCUACCUAUAUUCAUAUGGAUUGAGUGAGAUAAUAUGUUUAUUUUUUUAAUUUUUCUUUUUCUUUUUUUAGGGCUGCACCUGCAGCUUAUGGAAGUUCCCAGGCUAGGGGUCAAAUCAGAGCUGCAGCUGCCAGCCUACGCCACAGCCACAGCCACGCCAGAUCCUUAACCCACUGAGCGAGGCCAGGGAGCGAAUCCACAACCUUGUGGAUACUAGUCAGGUUCAUUUCUGCUGAUCCACAGAGGGAACGCCAAGAUAAUACAUUUCAAGCUCAUAAUAGAACAUGUUGGCAUUUAAGCCAGCCAUCCCAAAACUCAGUGGCUUAAAGCAGCCACCAUAAUUUGGUUGAGGAUUCCAGGCUUGGCUGCUCUCUGAUGCAGUGAUGCUCACUUGGCUGGAGGCUGGCUGGUCCUGCAUGGCUUCACUCGCAUAUUGGCCGGUGACUUGGUUGUCUGUUGGAACAACAGGGAUGACCAGACUGCAAGUGUCCUAACAUCCAACCAAGGUCAAACUUCCCUGGAAUAUAGACCCCUCCUGAAGGACCUUUCUCUGGGUGGACCCUACACUCUUGUCUAGCUUAGUGUAUUUUGAAUGAAGUCUUUGCCUUCUGGACAUUGUCCUUGUUUCUUGAAAAUCAGACUCUGCCUUAAUCAUCUCUGCAUUCCGAGUGGAUAGCACAGAAUGGUUGGAUGAAUACGGAAAUACAGUUCUGCCUAUGUGAACUGUCUCAUUAUCCUCACCUACUAAUCCUUGGAGUUCAUCUUUAUGUGCUGCCUACUUUGUGAAGUCCAUUUGCUCUCUUGAACUUUGAGAAUUUUAGAGAUGGCUUCUGGUAUGGAUUUAUAAGAAACAUCAAAGAGUAAAAUCUUACAUUAAAGCAUUAUAGUUAAUCGAACAUUCUCUCUUAUAUCUGUGUUAAAAUAGCAUAGGAAAGCUGUGAGGAGUUUUCAGCGAUGUUCAUAAAAACAGGAACGUUUGGUUUCUUGGUUUUACAUACAUGUAUGUGGUAAACUCGUAGUUGUGAAUCCGUGAGAAGCUGUAUUUUCUCUCAGCCCUCCUACAUGUAUAAUAGGAUCGGUCUCCAGAAUGGGUGGUUUUUUAGGCCAAGGAAAGGUUUUGUCUUUUCUCAUUUCUAUUUUUAAUUUAAUGGAGCUCCGCCGAAAAGAAGGAUAAAACAUAAAGGUAAAAGAAGCAACAUUUACAUAUGCCUUUUUCUCCUUUUACCCACUCCAUUUUAUUCUCUAGCCUGCUUUGGGGAAGCUGUUAAGUAAAUAAUGAUUAACUAUUGCUGGUUUUCUUUUUUCUUAAACUUCACUUAAGUCACGGUUCAGAGUUUGUGAAGGGUUGGAAAUACCAUAAUGCAGUGACUUAGGCAGUGUGGUGUGAUGGAGAGGGGGACCCCCCCCCCAAAAAACACCUCACAUCUGGGCCCCAGGGAAACUAAAUUCCAAUCUUGGGCUUUGAUAAGGACUUAUUGGUGAAUUGAAACAACUUAAUUUUUCUUUGGCUGAGGUUGUUCCGUUUGAUAAUCUUGAAGGCUUCGCUCCAUUUUUAACAUACUGUACUGUUUCUAUGAAGUAUAGAUCCUUCUGGGAUUUAGUAAUAAUCAAUACAGAUGAGCGCCACUGUUUAAAAUGAAAGAAAAUGGAUGUAUAUACUAGAUAUUUAAAACCUACAGGCUUAAGCCAUGUGUAUAGGAAGGGUGUACUUUGGAUACAUGUUUGAAAAUAGGUGUUUGUCAGGCAGGCAAGGUGGAAGGAUUAGUAGGAUUGAGAAGUGCAAGAUGAUGGAGGCGAAAAUGAGUGUGACAUGCAUAAUGAAUUCUGCAGCUCCCUUGGUGUGCCUGGCAUGCGGGAUGUCUGAAUAGCACUUCCGUGAGGGGCAGCUCCCAGUGCAGUUGACUGAUGUAGGGUGAAGCGUAUCUCCAAAGGGUAUGCUCCUCCUUCAUUAGGAAAUUGUGUUUUCUCUUCUGGAUUCAUUUUGUAUGGAAAUUCCACAAGAAACACUCAUUUCCCCUUCUCUUGAGGACUGGCAGCAGCUCACGCCACCCACUGCACUGCCCCCCCUUGGUGAUGGCCUUGGGGACCAGAAAACUGAUGCUUUGUGAAAUGUCUUUUUUUUGGGGGGGGUCUUUUUAGGCCUGCACCCGUGGCAUAUGAAGGUUCCCAGCUGUAGCUGCCGGCCUACCCCACAGCCACAACAGUGCCAGAUCCCAGCUGCGUCUGCGACCUACACCACAGCACACGGCAAUGUCGGAUCCUUAACCCACUGAGCGAGGCCAGAAAUUGAAUCCUCAUCCUCGUGGAUACUAGUUGGAUUCGUUACCGCUGAGCCACAACCGGAAUUCCUGAAAUAUCUUAAGUGUCGUAUAAAUUGUGACAGCACAUGAGGCCAUGGUCAGCUCACCUCUGGAUCUGCAUCUCCCUUGGUUAGAGUCAAUCAAUACUUAUACUCUGUCUCCUCUUCGUGAAGGAAAUUCCUCCCAGGUCCACUUCCUGCCUUUCUUGGAGGAGUACAUCCUCCUUAAACUUCUCUGCCUGUGGCCUCUGGGGUAUCUGGUUCUCCUCCAGCCCUGGCUUCUUAGGCUUCCCGAUGGUUCCUACAUGCUGAGCUCAGGCCCUGACCUGAAUGAGAUCAGGCUGCCCUGUCCUUUAUUUUUUGGUAGGCCCACCAUUCCUGUUCUCUGUAUUCUCUUCUGUACCUGGGGUGUAACCUAGUCUGUCUCUGCCUUUGGCGACUUCCCUGCACUUCAGACCUGUGCCUCUAGACGUCUGCUGGACGCCACCCUCACCUGGGUCACCGGUCACAGUGCCCUGACACGUCUUGCCUGUGAAUGCAUGUCAAGUGGUUUUCUCUGAGCUCCUGUAUAAGCUGUACAUUUUUAUCAUGUCCAAGUGUAGUGUAGUUUAUGUACCUCUCUUACUCCAAGAGUAUUUUUAAUUCUACUCUUCUAUGGUUUUAAGAAAUGCGUGUGUUCGCACAUUUAAGUGUUUCUUUAAGGUAAUAGAGGUAUAGCAGGAUAACCAGGAUAUAUAAGAAAGGCAGUCUUGUGGGCUUUGAAGUUUACCAAAAAAGACUUGCAGAUGAGUGACUGUCGUGUCUGGGGAGAUGUCGUGAUAGAGCAAGUGACAGAGCUUGGGAAACCCAGCAGCACGACCCCAGGCUAGGCCUGUCACAGGAGGCCUCAGAUAUGACGUUUAAGCCGAGAGAGUGGAGGAGUGGAUGAGAGUAGCUGAGCAAAAAAAUGGAUGAAAAGGGAAUAUUGGGAUUCAUUGCAUUUGCAUGACGUUAAUAUUUCAUUUGAGUUAUGAGAGAAUUAAUUUUAAGUAUGGAGAGCAUGCAGAUAAUUCCAAACCUAGGAGAUGGUCAGGUUUGCUUUUUGUCUUUGUAUUGAAUUAGUGCUGUGGGUGGGAAGUUCAUCUUAUUAGCAGUCUGGUGUGCUGUAAGUAACCUGUGAAGUGAGGAACUGGACUUGCUAAUGGAUUUUUAUUUAUGCGCCACAGACAUUUAUUUGCUGAUGGAAAUCCCGAAAUGAAUGAUUAUAUUCUACAGAAGCAGAAUACUGUUUUGCUGUGGCCUCUUGUGAUGCUACCAUUAACAAGUUUUGGGUGGCCAGGCACAUGAGGACAAUUAGAUGGGACCAAUGACAGUGGUUUCCUGUCACUUUUGCACUACGUAAAACCACAUUCGGAAAGGGUAGUAAACUUUUGAUGGGGGGAAAAAAGGAUUAACUUUAGAAGGUUUUUAACUGAUGAAAAUCAAGCUCGUGCCACAGUAAGCAACAUUUUCACACCAUUAAGCAUUGUGAAGCAUUUUCCUUGAACUUCUUUUAAUUUCUAAGUGUGGUUUGAGAAGAACCCCCGUUUCAAGCUUACAGUAUAUUCUUUCGUUGUCCUUAUGAAAAAGAUAGCGUUGCUUCAUUGAGUUCUGGGGAAGAUAAUGUUGAUGGAGAUUGUUCGUGACUCGGAUUGAAUGAAAACACAAACCUUUCAUUUAUACAUUUAGAAAACUUUUUGAAUAGCCUUUAAUUGGUAGUUUUGUGAAAUUAGGAUAAUAGGAGAAGAUCAGUUAGAAUGAUAAAAUCUGGGAGUUCCCAUUUGGCGCAGCAGAAAGGAAUCCCACUAGUAUCCAUGAGGAUGCAGAUUUGAUCCCUGGCUCCUGGCCUCCCUCACUGCGUCAGAGAUCUGGCCCUGAUCUGUGGUGUAGGUCACAGACAGGGCUCAGAGCCCCAGUUGCUGUGGCUGUGGUGUAGGCCAGCAGCUGUAGCUCCGAUUUGACCCCUAGCCUG